CUUUUUACUGGCUCACAGGAUUAUCAGACUGAUGCAACUCUUCCUGAAAGGCUUUGGAAGCAGCUCUGCAGGAUGUCCUGGGACCAGUGUGACACAACUGGGAGUACCAGCUAGCUGAAAAACUCGCUUCAGAAGCACUCGGCCAUGGCCUGCUGAGGAACUGGAGAGGGUAUUUCAGCAAAUGAAGGAGACACCUUUGGGAAAUUGGGAGAAGUUCUUCUUCUGAGCAGGAGCAUACAUUCAAUCUUUAGUUCAUUGCUUCUGGUGGGCAAGCAUCAAAUCAGGCUGAUGUCUGAUCAAAUCCCUGUCAGCUUUUGUUAGCGCUGCUUGAUCCUGCCUCGCUCAGAAAGCUUGAAGGAAAGUGAUGGGAAAUAAAAAGUUAAUUCAUGCCCUCCUAACUGUGUAG
Molecule: long non-coding RNA, 406 nt
Filed under: Phasianus colchicus (ring-necked pheasant)
Lineage: Eukaryota; Metazoa; Chordata; Aves; Galliformes; Phasianidae
Description: lncRNA (ENSPCLG00000000230.1)
Source: RNAcentral